AGAAGACUAGAAAAAAGAAACAAAAGUCAGCUAGUGCAGUGCUUGUCAUAAGAAUGGUAGUAAUUGAAGAUCAGAGACCUCAGAUUAAGAGCGCUGGUGGUGUAAAUGAGUGGACCGUCUUCUUCAACAAAACCCCAAAUCCAGGGUUACAGAGAAAGAGAAAGGCAGAGAGAGCCAGAGGAGACGGAAAGAAGAACAGAGAAUGAUGCUGAAUCAAUCUCUACUAGCCCAACAGAGUCAAGGAGUGCAGCAUACAUUUGGAAAAAUCUACAUCUACAGUUCAAAGCAUCUACAGUUCAAAGCUUUAUCACAUUGAAACACCUUUGUGUUGUGUGCUGUCGCUGGCCUCUUCAUCGAAGGUCAUCACUGUCUGGCAAUUAUCA
Long non-coding RNA from Hyaena hyaena (striped hyena), 383 nucleotides. RefSeq lists it as uncharacterized. The transcript is spliced from 5 exons. NCBI's taxonomy places the organism in Eukaryota, Metazoa, Chordata, Mammalia, Carnivora, Hyaenidae. The record is from RefSeq and is a predicted model, not a curated record.